Molecule: ribosomal RNA, 466 nt
Filed under: uncultured bacterium
Lineage: Bacteria
Description: partial 16S ribosomal RNA
Rfam family: Bacterial small subunit ribosomal RNA
Source: RNAcentral
GAUGAACGCUGGCGGCGUGCUUAACACAUGCAAGUCGAACGGAAAGGCCGAAGCUUGCUUCGGUACUCGAGUGGCUAACGGGUGAGUAACACGUGGGUGAUCUGCCCUGUACUUCGGGAUAAGCUUGGGAAACUGGGUCUAAUACCGGAUAUGACAAUCUCUUGGAUGGGGUUGUGGAAAGCUUUUGCGGUAUGGGAUGAGCUCGCGGCCUAUCAGCUUGUUGGUGGGGUAAUGGCCUACCAAGGCGUCGACGGGUAGCCGGCCUGAGAGGGUGUACGGCCACAUUGGGACUGAGAUACGGCCCAGACUCCUACGGGAGGCAGCAGUGGGGAAUAUUGCACAAUGGGCGCAAGCCUGAUGCAGCGACGCCGCGUGGGGGAUGACGGCCUUCGGGUUGUAAACUCCUUUCGCAACCGACGAAGCUUUUGUGACGGUAGGUUGAGAAGAAGCACCGGCUAACUACGUG